AGGACGAACGCUGGCGGCGUGCUUAACACAUGCAAGUCGAGCGAGGCUCCUUCCUUCGGGAGGGAUGCCCUAGCGGCGAACGGGUGAGUAACACGUGGGCAACCUGCCCCUAGCACUGGGAUAACUUCGGGAAACCGAGGCUAAUACCGGAUAUGACCUCUGAGGGCAUCCUCGGAGGUGUAAAGGAUUCUGGCUAGGGAUGGGCCCGCGGCCUAUCAGCUUGUUGGGUGGGGUAACGGCCCACCAAGGCGACGACGGGUAGCCGGCCUGAGAGGGCGACCGGCCGACACUGGGACUGAGACACGGCCCAGACUCCUACGGGAGGCAGCAGUGGGGAAUAUUGCACAAUGGGCGCAAGCCUGAUGCAGCGACGCCGCGUGAGGGAUGACUGCCUUCGGGUUGUAAACCGUCUUUCAGCAGGGACGAAGCGAAGUGACGGUACCUGCAGAAGAAGCACCGGCCAACUACGCGCCAGCAGCCGCGGU
This 485-nucleotide ribosomal RNA is filed under the name uncultured bacterium. RNAcentral's name for it is "SSU rRNA". It matches the Rfam family "Bacterial small subunit ribosomal RNA", at positions 26 to 521 of the family's 1533-position model. The record is from RNAcentral.